RNAcentral lists this ribosomal RNA (325 nucleotides) under uncultured eukaryote. RNAcentral's name for it is "partial 18S ribosomal RNA". It matches the Rfam family "Eukaryotic small subunit ribosomal RNA", at positions 1470 to 1796 of the family's 1831-position model. The record is from RNAcentral.
CCCUCAGAUGUUCUGGGCCGCACGCGCGCUACACUGAUGCAUUCAACGAGCCUAUCCUUGACCGACAGGUCCGGGUAAUCUUUGAAUCUGCAUCGUGACGGGGAUAGAUUAUUGCAAUUAUUAAUCUUCAACGAGGAAUGCCUAGUAGGCGCAAGUCAUCAGCUUGCGUCGAUUACGUCCCUGCCCUUUGUACACACCGCCCGUCGCUCCUACCGAUUGGGUGUGCUGGUGAAAUGUUCGGAUCGGCCGUUUGUCGCGGUUUCCGCGUCAUGUGGCUGAGAAGUUCAUUAAACCCUCCCACCUAGAGGAAGGAGAAGUCGUAACA